GAAAAGAAGAGAACAGAGAGAGCGAGUGUAUUGAAAGGCCGUCACCAGAAGCACAUUGUGACGUCAAACCCAGAAACUUUUUACAAUUCACCACCACUGCCACCACCACACCACCACCACCUCCGCCACCGCGUCCUGUGUGUGUGUGUGUGCGUGUGUGAUUCAACAGUUGGUACAAGGGAAGGCUGUUCGUUUAUUGCUUCAGGCUCGGUUCUGAGGCUUGUUUACUGGCCGUGUCGUAUCUCCCUUUCCUCCACGCUGCGGAUCAAAACAAAGUUACCGCAAAAAAAAAAAAAAAAACUCCACCAAAUCUUAUAAACUUCCACCUAACCCACACUCCACAUCCAAGCCUCUCAUCACACACUAAAUUAUUCCUCAUGCCUUAAGAAAACCUACUAUACUCAGCCGUAAAACCGUAAAGGGCUCAUAGCGAAGGAGUGCAAAUAGAUAAAUGUCAAGGGAAGUGAUAUGCCGGGCUAUAAUCAUGAAAUCUGGAUCGUGAAGUCAAGUUGCCGCAAACGCUUGACGCCGCUUUCUUGUUUACAUCCCGCGGCGCGCACGUGGAGCUGCCGCGGGGGGAGAGGGACUGUUUUAUGGUGAGGUGUGUUAGUGUUGAGUAUGUGAAAAAAGAAAAGAAGGAAGUGAGUGAUGAAGAGGAAAAACAAGAGGAAAUGAAGUCCACUGUUAAUAUACGUGAUGAAAUUUCCUGAGUACUAGACACACCUGAGACUCGCCACACCCAGGCACAGCGGCCAGCCACGCGUCAGCCUACCUCGGAAAAUUAAUAGGCUGAGUAAAACUGGUUAUGCAGAGUGGAGGACAACAGGCUCUUUAGUCAUGAUAGCAUCGGCAUUCUGCACCACCACCACCCACCACCACCACCACCACCACCACCACCACCACCACCACUUCGCUU
Long non-coding RNA from Scylla paramamosain (green mud crab), 916 nucleotides. RefSeq lists it as uncharacterized. The transcript is spliced from 4 exons. The record is from RefSeq and is a predicted model, not a curated record. Lineage: Eukaryota; Metazoa; Arthropoda; Malacostraca; Decapoda; Portunidae.